AUUGAACGCUGGCGGCAGGCCUAACACAUGCAAGUCGAACGAGUGGCGGACGGGUGAGUAAUGUCUGGGAAACUGCCCUAUGGAGGGGGAUAACUACUGGAAACGGUGGCUAAUACCGCAAACCAUCAGAUGUACCCAUAUGGGAUUAGCUUGUUGGUGGGGUAACGGCUCAGCAAGGCGACGAGCCCUAGCUGGUCUGAGAGGAUGACCAGCCACACUGGAACUGGGACACUGUCCAGCAUCCGACGGUAGGCAUGAGGGGGGAGUAGUGCACAAGGAGCAGAAGCCAGAUGCAGCCAUUCCGGGUGUAUGAGGAGGGCCUUCGGGUUGUAAAGUACUUUCAGCGGUGAGGCGUUACCCGCAGAAGAAGCACCGGCUAACUCCGUGCCAGCAGCCGCGGUAAUAC
RNAcentral lists this ribosomal RNA (406 nucleotides) under uncultured bacterium. RNAcentral's name for it is "partial 16S ribosomal RNA". It matches the Rfam family "Bacterial small subunit ribosomal RNA", at positions 30 to 526 of the family's 1533-position model. The record is from RNAcentral.